AACGAACGCUGGCGGCAGGCUUAACACAUGCAAGUCGAGCGAGACCUUCGGGUCUAGCGGCGGACGGGGGAGUAACGCGUGGGAACGUGCCCUUCUCUACGGAAUAGCCCCGGGAAACGGGGAGUAAUACCGUAUACGCUCUUCGGGGGGAAGAUUUAUCGGAGAAGGAUCGGCCCGCGUUGUAUUAGGUAGUUGGGGGGGUAAUGGCCCACCAAGCCGGCGAUCCAUAGCUGGGUUGAGAGGACGGUCAGCCACACUAGGACGGGGACACGGCCCGAAUACCUGCGGAUGGGCGCAGUGGUGAAUCAUAGACACUGGGUGCAACCCUGAGCUAGCCAUGUCGCGUGAGUGAUGAAGGCCUUAGGGUUGUAAAGCUCUUUCAGCUGGGAAGAUAAUGACGGUACCAGCAGAAGAGGCCCCGGCUACCUCCUU
This 432-nucleotide ribosomal RNA is filed under the name uncultured bacterium. RNAcentral describes it as "partial 16S ribosomal RNA". It matches the Rfam family "Bacterial small subunit ribosomal RNA", at positions 29 to 506 of the family's 1533-position model. The record is from RNAcentral.